AACGAACGCUGGCGGCAUGCCUAACACAUGCAAGUCGAACGAAGGCUUCGGCCUUAGUGGCGCACGGGUGCGUAACGCGUGGGAAUCUGCCCUUAGGUUCGGAAUAACAGCUGGAAACGGCUGCUAAUACACGAUGCUAUCGCGAGAUCAAAGAUUUAUCGCCUGAGGAUGAGCCCGCGUUGGAUUAGGUAGUUGGUGGGGUAAAGGCCUACCAAGCCGACGAUCCAUAGCUGGUCUGAGAGGAUGAUCAGCCACACUGGGACUGAGACACGGCCCAGACUCCUACGGGAGGCAGCAGUGGGGAAUAUUGGACAAGGGGCGCAAGCCUGAUCCAGCAAUGCCGCGUGAGUGAUGAAGGCCCUAGGGUUGUAAAGCUCUUUUACCCGGGAAGAUAAUGACUGUACCGGGAGAAUAAGCCCCGGCUAACUCCGUGCCAGCAGCCGCCGUAA
Molecule: ribosomal RNA, 449 nt
Filed under: uncultured bacterium
Lineage: Bacteria
Description: partial 16S ribosomal RNA
Rfam family: Bacterial small subunit ribosomal RNA
Source: RNAcentral